GACGAACGCUGGCGGCGUGCCUAAUACAUGCAAGUUGAGCGCUGAAGGUUGGUACUUGUACCAACUGGAUGAGCAGCGAACGGGUGAGUAACGCGUGGGGAAUCUGCCUUUGAGCGGGGGACAACAUUUGGAAACGAAUGCUAAUACCGCAUAAAAACUUUAAACACAAGUUUUAAGUUUGAAAGAUGCAAUUGCAUCACUCAAAGAUGAUCCCGCGUUGUAUUAGCUAGUUGGUGAGGUAAAGGCUCACCAAGGCGAUGAUACAUAACCGACCUGAGAGGGUGAUCGGCCACAUUGGGACUGAGACACGGCCCAAACUCCUACGGGAGGCAGCAGUAGGGAAUCUUCGGCAAUGGACGAAAGUCUGACCGAGCAACGCCGCGUGAGGGAAGAAGGUUUUCGGAUCGUAAAACUCUGUUGGUAGAGAAGAACGUUGGUGAGAGUGGAAAGCUCAUCAAGUGACGGUAACUACCCAGAAAGGGACGGCUAACUACGUG
This 497-nucleotide ribosomal RNA is filed under the name uncultured bacterium. RNAcentral's name for it is "partial 16S ribosomal RNA". It matches the Rfam family "Bacterial small subunit ribosomal RNA", at positions 28 to 507 of the family's 1533-position model. The record is from RNAcentral.